RNAcentral lists this small RNA (384 nucleotides) under Pongo abelii (Sumatran orangutan). RNAcentral describes it as "sense intronic". The record is from RNAcentral. Lineage: Eukaryota; Metazoa; Chordata; Mammalia; Primates; Hominidae.
UAUGUUCUGUGUGGCUGACUGCUGCAACUUUAGUUCAUCUGUCUUAAAAUGACAAGGGGCACAAUAAUAAUUUUUUCUUUACUGAGACAGGUUCUCACUGUUGCCUGAAGCACGAGUGCAGUGGCACAAUCACCAUUCACUGCAGCCUUGACUUGCGGGUUCAAGCCAUCCUCUCACCUCAGUUUCCUGAGUAGCUGGGACUACAGUUGCAUGCCACCAUGCCUGGCUAAUUUUUGUGGUUUUGUUUUUGAGACGGAGUCUUGCUCUGUUGCCCAGGCUGAGGCAGGAGAAUCGCUUGAGCCUGGGAGGCGGAGGUUGCAGUGAGCCAGGAUCACGCUACUUUACGCCAGUCUGGGCAGUGGAAAGAGGCGCAGUCUCAAAAAA